UGCUCCCGCUGAGGCUCGGCAGAGCGUGGAGCAGCCAAUUAAAAACGCAAUCAAACAGCUAAAGCUCAGGUUGACGGCAAAGUCCCUGGGCUGGUUUGCACGGUGCCUGUCCCAGUGCGACGUGGAUGAGGCAGCGCUCAGGGCCCCGUCGAGCGGCAGGGCCCUUUCCCUGCCGCGCUGCCUGCGCCCGUCCGCACCCGCCUCGCGGCAGCGCCCAGGCGUGGGAGCGUUUUGGCAAGCGAGCGCUCAAGGCGAGGGACGGUGACCACCUCCACUGCCCCAGCUCGACCCAGACCAAGACCUCCACAGACUUCACAUCCCAAAAGAACACACAGAGGACAGGGAGAGUGAAAGGAGAGAUCAUUUGGACCACAACCUGCCGCAGAGGAACGGGUGCCUCUUUCCCACUGGAUGUGAGGAUUCAAAUUCCCCCUUGGUGCAUUUGAAACCCCAAACCGUGCUGCUAAACGGCCAUCUUCCAGAGAGCGAACACUAACUGUAGCGCUGUGUUUCCUCUCAGCUGCAGGACUUCCAGUGAUUGAAAGUCAAAAAUAUUGCACAUCUUGAACACAUCCCAAGUAAAGAACAGGCAGAAGCAGCAAUUUUUAUGCUACUCAAAGGGGCAGCUCUCCUGUCACAAGGGUACCAGCAGUGACGAGUACAGGACAAAGCCAGAAGACUUGUGGCCAAGCAUGCAGGCACGAGACAGGUCAGCGGCUGAGCCGGCAGCACCAUCAGAUCAGCCCUCUGGGGUGGUACAAUAUCUCCCACAUCUCACACUGGAGACAAGAAAGGACCCUCUACAGCAACCGGGUAUUCAAAAGCCAGAAUCACCUUUGAGAUCAGAUCCAGGCUGCAAUCUGCAGGAUUAUCAAACUCCAGGCUCCAGCUCUGUCUUCUGCUUCCUUUGAGUCACAGCUGGGUGCAGUUUGCCAGAACUUUCUGGGUAUGCACAUCAAAUGCAGAUGACUCCUGGGGAUGGAGCAGGGGAAGCAGACACAGCCUGUACUACUAACAGGCAGAAGCAAUGGAUUUAAUAAGCAAUUUGCUGUGGUAAGUAGCCCAGAGAUGAGAAUUAAAGUGGUACCUGAAAGCAAAUUUCAAAGUCAGCUGCUAAGGUAGUUAACUGUUUUAGUUCAUGCUUAUUCGGAAACAGUGGCUCCUGAAAAGCACCAUCCUUCCCCCUGGCAGGCAACCACCUACUGCCCUCCUGCUCAAUUUGGAGAAAGCUGGCCAGGAGGUGCGGGAGCUGGGAGGAAGGGGAGGGCAGGGGGACCGGGAUACAGAGAUGGCAACAACAUGGAGAAGACUUAGCCCUGUUUCCUCAGCAGAAGAAAGCGAGAUGUUGAGGUUUGCACACCUCAGGGAACUUCUCUUAUCCUUCACCUCUGGGAACAUUGAGACCAAAUUCAAAAGGGAACACACAGUUGGCACAUCCUCAUUUCUUCAGCAAGCCUCGGCUUUCCUGCCUACCUAACACGCAAGCGGUUAUGUGCAUCCCUAAGGAACGUUUCCACCAGUGCGUGCCCCAGGUUUCUGAGCAGCACUCUGGUGGAGCAGUCCAUCUUCCAGUGCUCCCGAGAGCCGCUCCAGGCAGUCACGCGUUAUCUGCAGCCAUUAUUAAGCUUUCUUAUGGGAACUGCUACCUCUAAACCUGAAGACUCACUUUGGCUGCAAUGAAAGGUGAGUUCGGUUGGGUCUCCAGGCUCCUCUGCAAGAGGGUUUCCAGGAGGCAGAUGCUGGGGAGCUUCACCACGCUGGCCACGUGUGGUCUCGCUUAAGCGCACCAGAGGUUCCCUCCCAAGCUCCCAGCGCUGGCUCAGCAUGUCUUCGCCCGCCCCCUUUCCCCUGUUCCUCCAAGCUGCGCGCGGGUAGCUCGGAGGGCUCCCGCAUGGGGUCCUGCAGCAGCCCCCACGCACUGCCGUUCACUCCCUCACUGCCCUACAGAGACGCCACACUGCGAGGCCACGCCGCGGCUCUGCCUGCAGGUUUUGCUUUGAUCUGCAGGACCUCAGGGAAGGGAGCCAGGGCAGCUUGCUGGACUGCUCCUGCACAUCAGCUUGAGAUCGAAAAGGACGGGACAACACCUCUCCAAACAGGCUGCUGUGCAAGAUGGUUCUCUUGCAAAGGCUCCCAACCCUCCAAACUUCCCAUUUGCUCAAAAGCCCAUCUGCCCUGGAUUUACAGGACAUCUAGGAACUGGCUCACACCCUGUUUUCCAUCAUGUAACCUCUCCACGGACCUUGCAGCCCAGCCAUACCCCUCAGUUCGGAGUGCGGCUCUGGUGCUGCUCAGCCUGUGGCCCACGGGUUACCGCGCAGCGUAGCGGGAUUGCUGCACACGCUGGCACGGCAGAACUGCAAGAUCAGCUUUGGAGCAUUUCUACGAAGCAUGAGAGACAAGCAGAGAGAAGUGUUAAGAAAACUGUGGCUUAAUUAAUUGAAGUUUGCACCUCCCCCCUUCCCCUAAAGUGAGACUUUGCAGAUUCGUAACCUGCCAGAUCGGCUGCUAACAUACAAGCAGGGCUGAUGAAACGCCACGGCUCUGCUGUCUUUUUUUUUUUUUUAUUGGCAUGGAGGAGCAAGCUGGGAGAAGAAAGAUCCCUGCUCAGAGGAAUGACAAAGUCAACCCUACGUAUCAGCUGUAACAAGAACGCAUGGGAAUUUUUGGCCCCCAGGAACAUCAGAGCACACAGGAACACUAAGCACAGGCAUGGCAUGUGGUCCCAACUUCUUCUUCUCAGCCAAGUUGUGAGUCUGCAGAAUAGAUACACAAUUGCAUCCCAAACAAUUUUUCUCCACUUUCCCUAACAUGAUUUUAAAAGGCUAAAAACUGAACUCAUGGGCCAAGGAGUUCACAACUGCUAUGGCAGAAAGCAACCACUGAAUAUGUGCCGAACCAGGCCAAACCAGUAAUAGCUGCAAGGAGGGAGAAAAAGAGGUUCAGCAGAACAUAAAGCCUUUUCAUAACCGCCCCAACUGAAUGCCAAGGCUGCAGAAAGCACACCUCCCCCUUGAAAGGGCUGAUCUCCCUAAGGCCUGAAGGUUAAGACUCUGGAGCUGCCGGAGGAGAACGGAGUUGCUGCUCUCCCAGAGCCCUGCCCCACCAGAGCCUUGGAGCUCGCCUUCCCAUCCCUCCUGGUCACAGCAAAAGGCUGCUGCUUGCAGCAGUGCAGCCCACCAGAUCACCGCAUGACUGCCGCAAAGGGCACGGCCAGGUUUCUAUAAUGCUCCUCUCCCCUUUUAGCUGCCUGCAAGAGUCAGGAGAAACAGCCCUCGAAAGGCACACAGAAAUCGCAGCGGAAAACUCCUACAACCACCGUAUCACAAAUAAGCCUUUGCACCGUGUCACAAGCCUGGAUCCUCACUCCUUUCCACGUGAUGGACUCAACGUACCUCCGAAACAACUACAGCAUCAUCCUACAUCCCAGGAGGCAGGGCUGACAAAUCCUUUUCCAAGGGAAGCGUCACAGCCUGGGGCAGAGCCAGAAACCUGAAUAUGCUUUUUGAACCGCCCGGGCCAGCCCCAGCCUCCUCCCCGGACACCAGCUCCAGCGCAGCACAGCGCGCAUCUCCCUCGCCUGCCGCGGUCUCGUGCAGCCCGCGCAGCUCCACGCGCUCACCUGCGGUUCCCGCCGUUGGUACGCUCCGAUCACUCAAGUGGCCGCGUUGUAAAUCAAAAGAGACAGGCAAUUAGGAAUCUAUAUUGAGGCCCUUAUAAAUAUAUAUUGUACAGCCGCCUGGAACAUCCAGACGAUCCGCCGGCUUGAUGGACUGAGCAGUCUCAAAACCUGCGAUGGCCAAAGAAGCGUCCCCAAAUUGCUCUGGGAGAGGCCCGACAGAAUCGGACAUUAACUUGGGUUUUUUUUUGCCCUUGUUCACUAAACACCAAAAUUCGCCGUUGUGGAACACAUGAGUUCCACUAAUUUAACCCUAAUUGGUUUCAAACUGGUCUUAAUUAAAACUGGUGUGGACUUGCUUAAUGCCAUUUAAAACAAAUUUAAAUGAGAUCUGACUAAAAUUGAUUCCUUUCUGGAGCGAGCUAAAUCUGUAUAAGCUGUUUAAAGAAUAUCCACAGGGGCACUCGCAGCGGUUGAGCUAAAGUGAUUUACCUCAACCCAUAAUAGAAGCAAUUUCAGUGCAGACCAGAACUCGAAAAUAGGGGGAGAAGUCUGGUUUGCUUUAACGCUCGCAUCUGAGAGCGCCGUUAGCCAGGACCGGAGGUGCCCAAAUGCUCCUCUGCAGCCAGCCCCGGACACGAAGCUGCCCAGCACCCGUUCGUUAGGGCAGGGUGGCCGCCAGCUGAAACCAGCGGGUGGGAGCGAUAGCCGGUGGGUGCUGUUGCUGACGGGCCCUGCCUUUCGCCCGGGUGGGAGAAGGGCGAGAGACGGCAUCGGAGGCGCGAAGGCAGGCCCGCAGCCGGGACGUCGGGAGGAGGGAGCCGUCCUCGCACACCGCUUCGAGAAGGGCGGACGUCACACCGGUGCCAGCCUCAAGGAGUAGGGCCCCGGCGCGAGGAAGCGGAUUAGGUGUUUGCGGGGAUUAUGCAGCUCUGGCUUUACGAAGCUACACACAAGCUUGCUCUGAGCUGAGAGCAGGCGGGGAGGAGGAGAUCAGCGAAAUUCAGAGGCUGGCAAUUCUUCCCGUUACGGGGAGCAAGGAAGCCAAAGGCACCCACGCAGGGUCUGCGUGUAGGCCAGAGCGGAGUGGAUACCGUGUCUAUAUUGUCACGAAAAGGCUGGAAGGGCAGUACCUCAAUCCUCAGUGAGCCUCCUGCCACAGCACCGCUCAAGUACCAUGCAAUCCUUAACACAUUUAACUGCAAGCCCUCUGCAAAGCGAGGAAGCACCUUCAUCCUCAUCACUACCAGGGAGAGAUUAAGCAACUCGUGCAAUGUCACGCAGGAAGCCUGCAGCUCGAGAUGGCUCCUUCCCCUGCUCACACCGAACAUCUUUCCUAUCCAAGCACCUUCUCCAAGGCUUCCAGCACAGCCCUGAGAAGAAACUCCUUUGGCUCCUCCGUAAGCAGCCGGUCCAAAUAUUCCAGCAGACAGACCUGGUCGGGAGCAUUUAAUGCACGUGGAGCCCCGCUCCAGUGCCGUCGCCGGCGUGGGAGUCAGCGCCGACAGAUGUUGCUAAGUGAAACCCAAUGUGGAGACAUGAGAAUCUGCAGAAUGUCUCCCCCAGCAGCCUUCCCCAGGAUGUUUUGAAUUUCAGCUUUUGCAAAUACGACGCAGAGAAACCUCAUAGAGCAGGAUAAAAAUAGAACCGUAAAAAAAAAGACAAAACCAAAAAACCCAGCGCAAGUCAUAGUUAGAAACAGAUGCAAACAUGUCGGCAGCUCAGCUGGGCUCAGAGAAACGUCAGCUCUCCCCUCUCUGCAUCGCAGGAUGCUACCGAGGAAAUAAACCCACUAAAACUACUGACCACGCAUAAGCUUAGGGGUUGUGCUCAGCCUGUUUUUGCAGCACACACAUUGCUCCCUACGCAGACAGGGCUGCUUGGGCACGCAAAUGCUUUUCCCCAUCGCUCCUGGCUGUCCUUGGGAGUGGAGAGGUUACGGGUCAGUUAAAUGCCUUGCAAAACAGCCGUGGUUUGCAAUUGCUGAAAUUUCAAUGUCACACCCACAUUGCUGGAAGCACAGCGGGCAGUCCCAAAACUGGCAGGGGUGCCGUGUAGCCUCACUUGCCAGGAUGGCUUAGACACACAGAGGAUUGAGGUGCCCAGGUCCUCCCGUGGCCUGCAGAGGGGCCUUGCCUGGGGCGUUGCGAGAUGUUUGGCACUGUCUCUAGGACAGGAGUAUUUCUGCUUUCAGCAAGAUCCAUGCAAAACCUUCCUGCAGCCCUAAGCCCCCGCUACAGCUGCUGCAAUUCCCCCAAGCCUUGCGCUUUACUUUGCCACAUUUCUGCAAACCGUUCGUGCUGAAGUGGCUACCAGACCUCCUCUCCAGAGGACAUCACACUGGCUUCCUCCCCACUCAUCACCCGGACCCCGACGCAGCGGCCUGGUGAGCACAUCAUCCUCCCCGGCGAGAGCAUCAGGAAGUUCUCAGGCCAGCAAAACACACGACCUCGCAGUCACCCGGUGACGUCAGACCUCGACGGCUACAUCUCCUGCAGCUCGCGGGGAGGAAGCAGCGUGCCGGGGGAGAUCUUCCCGUCGGAACGCAUCGUGGUGAAGUGUGAGAACUGGCUUCUCCCUGGACUGAAGGUCAGAGCAGGGAAAGACGUGGAUGUAUUCUGACGGCUUUUGCUGCACUCAUCCUCUGGAUCUCCCCACUCCAAUGCUGACAAGCAGGGACUCCACCUGUCCCUGCCUUGAAUGAAGAUAGUAGGCAAUGAAAACGCUUAUCUUACCUAGGAAAUCCAUUUGGGUCCGCUACUGGGUCGUUUUUCUUUGUCAAGGUAAAUCAAUAAGCAAAAGUGCAGCAGGGUAUAGCUCAAACAAGGUAGAGGAGAAGAAAACAGUCAGCAGAGCUGCAGGAAGGCUAGCUGCUAAGUUUGGGGGUGACCUUAAAGUGGGCCAAAGCUAGUAUCGCUGUAGUAUGGGAAGGGCCACAGAAGGGAUGCCGAAGUCUGCAGCUCUACGUAGAAAGGUGAAGCACAUGAAAGACAAUCAACCUGCAAGUAGGAAUGAGAAGCAAUGGACUUUUGGGGGGUAUUUCUGAUCUACACUGCAACCAAGAAAAAAGGAAACAAGGUCACAGAUCUGCACUUGAGGGAAAAUCCCUUCCCGCCCUUUUGAGCUCUAUGCCAAAGUUUCAUCUCCCCUUCUCUACAACAGGGAAAUAUGAGAGUUUCUCAACACUUUAUUCCCAUGUACCAACGUUUAUUUUACUAGUCUAACUGUGAAGCUUUUACCUUAUUCCUCUCCCUACCUCCAAAUUCUAUGCUACAUCUGGGGAAACUGAGGCAGUCCAGCAAAGCAACUGCAUACGGGGCGUUUGGCUGGAAGUCACAGGUAUCUAUAUGACCAACAUCUCCUUAACGUGUUUCAGCCUCUACAGACCGGUAAUCCAGGCCAGCACCACUGCUUUCAUUGAGGAAUCCCCUGUCUUUUCAGCCAGCAGCAUGCUGUCGCAGUCAGUCUCAGGAGGGAUCUAAGCCUGAAGGCACAUCAUCUCUGGACAGCUGUAUCUCCUGGGGUUUUCCAUGGCAUCUUAUCAAUGCCAAAGUAUUAUUUUGGGCAGCAUCAGCUGGGAACACCAUCACACGGCACGGCCAGAUGCUGUGACUUCCUAAUCCUCCUCUCUGUCCUCCACAUUACACAGAAACCCCUCAUCGUCGGGGGUCAUCUCCUUCCCUCCCUUGUCCACAGCAGGUGAAGCCCUGCAGUACUAGCAGACUAGCAGCACCCUUUUCAUCACGGCCUGAUUAAACUAGCACCUGGAAAUAACGGAAUGUAACUUCUAAUAACACUUCAUGGUGUUUCACAAGGAUUUCUGAGACCCAAGUCCAAUUUCAAUCAGAUCGGUCUCAUUCAGAAACUUCCCAGGCUGCAUUAGCCAAAAAACAGAGAAAGGGUCUUUGCGAGGCCCAGAAGAGCAUUUGCAGCCUGCUCCAUGCCAGAUUUCAAUGCUGCUAGGCUUCUUCCAGAGCCUACCUCACAUGGAAGCAGCCAAGCCAAUAGUUUUCAACUCUGAAAUCUGCAGACCUUCUAAAAAUUUUCCCCUGUCGUUAGAAACCUUAAGUUUAGCAAACCUAAGCCAACUGACAACAGGCCAGCUUCUCUUUGCUACCCUUCACGGACCCCCAGCAGCCUACAGACUCUUGCCUGGUGUUUUCAGAUGCUAACCUAACAUUUGCCAAACUCUCUGGAGGUGAGACUUUGCCCUGCACUGCCACCUCCACAGACAUAUGAAUUACACAGAUUGAGAAGCUGGGUGACAGAGAAGUUGAAGUGAGUGUUUUGGCUCACUAGGAACAGAAUCCCUCAAAAAAUGUGCAUGGGAAACCCCUAUAAUAGCAAUUCUCAAGUUUUUUCCAGGCUCUGGAGUCCUGAAACUUUUCCAGGGGGCAUAAAGCGAGCUUAAACUCAACAGACUAGACUUCUCAGUCACUUUUAGCAGGCUCCUGAGGAGUAAUCCAUGCACCCCCGGGAUAUCCAUGGCCUACUGGUUGAAAGCAAUGACCUAGAGCACAUUAGCACACCCACACAUACAAGUCGGCCUCCCAGUAAACAUCCUAUGCUGCCAAGUGGUCAGAGGGUAUGCCACUGUCCCCGAGACCUCCGGCAGGAAGCCAGGCAGGAGAGACUGGAGCAAUCUUGAGAGGAAAGUGCCUCCUGCAAAACAAAGGGCCAUAACUGCUUCUCCUUACAAAGCUCUGCAGGCAGGAAGGAAGAGAUGUGUGCAAAGGAGUUAACCGUAUAUGUGGCAGCAGACGGUGCCGGCAUCCUUUUGGAGGGGGGCUCUCUCCUCCCAUGCAGAACAGAGCUGCAACCCACACCGGAGGGCUCACACCUCUGUUAUCCAUGGCGAUCACCUCUCAUGGGCCGUUGGCUGGCUACUUGUCCCCUGACUUCUGCAUCUUUGGCGAAACACUCCCAAAUAAAGCUGGAUUCCCAUUA
Dromaius novaehollandiae (emu) is the source of this 8566-nucleotide long non-coding RNA. RefSeq lists it as uncharacterized. The transcript is spliced from 2 exons. The record is from RefSeq and is a predicted model, not a curated record. NCBI's taxonomy places the organism in Eukaryota, Metazoa, Chordata, Aves, Casuariiformes, Dromaiidae.